ACGCUCGACACCUACGGGAGGAAGCAGUGGGGGAUAUCGCACAAUGGGGGAAACCCUGAUGCAGCAACGCCGCGUGAAGGAAGAAGGUCUUCGGAUUGUAAACUUCUGUCCUCAGGGAAGAUAAUGACGGUACCUGAGGAGGAAGCUCCGGCUAACUACGUGCCAGCAGUCGCGGUAAUCUGAGCGGGCUGGCAAGGC
This 198-nucleotide ribosomal RNA is filed under the name uncultured bacterium. Its description in RNAcentral is "partial 16S ribosomal RNA". It matches the Rfam family "Bacterial small subunit ribosomal RNA", at positions 328 to 539 of the family's 1533-position model. The record is from RNAcentral.